Molecule: ribosomal RNA, 327 nt
Filed under: uncultured eukaryote
Lineage: Eukaryota
Description: partial 18S ribosomal RNA
Rfam family: Eukaryotic small subunit ribosomal RNA
Source: RNAcentral
CCCUUAGAUGUUCUGGGCCGCACGCGCGCUACACUGACGAAUGCAACGAGCUUAUAACCUUGGCCGCAAGGUCUGGGUAAUCUCCAAAUUUCGUCGUGAUGGGGAUAGAUUAUUGCAAUUAUUAAUCUUCAACGAGGAAUGCCUAGUAAGCGCAAGUCAUCAGCUUGCGUUGAUUACGUCCCUGCCCUUUGUACACACCGCCCGUCGCUCCUACCGAUUGAAUGGUCCGGUGAAGCGUUCGGACCGUGGCCUUUGGACGGUUCGCCGUCUGUUGGCUGCGGGAAGUUCGUUAAACCUUAUCAUUUAGAGGAAGGAGAAGUCGUAACA